Molecule: long non-coding RNA, 3371 nt
Filed under: Podarcis lilfordi (Lilford's wall lizard)
Lineage: Eukaryota; Metazoa; Chordata; Lepidosauria; Squamata; Lacertidae
Source: RNAcentral
AGUGAAGAGCUAAUUUAGAUCUCCUGUAGCAAACAAAACUGAAAUGAGAGUCAGGGCUUUGAAAGUGUACUAUCAGUAGUAGAGCUGCUUUUUCCAAUUGAGGUUUAAAUUAGGAUAAAGCUGUCUAAAUAAAAGAUAAUUAACAUGGUUUCAUGGUUUUUAAAGUCUGAAGCCCGGAAAUCUGGAUUGUGUACGAAUAGAAGAUGUUGUCAGGAACUGGGCUCCUGUCUACUAAAUGAAAGAAGCAAGUUCCCAAUAAUAAGCAAAGAUCAAUCAUGCAGAAGGAAAAGAGGACUAAAAGUUUCAAAACAAAUGUAGUGCUGAAGAAAAAAGGAAGGGGAAAAAAAGCAGAGGCAGUAAAACUGAAAUUUCUACUGUCUGCUGCAAAGCAGUUUUCACAUUAAUGACUCCUUAAAGGACAUUCCUUGACACUCAGACUUUUGCAAUAAAAUGCUAUUAAAAACCUGAAAAGGGCAGAAAAUUCUAUGGCUACUCAGCAAAAAAAAAAAGCAUUAAAGAUUAACAGGAUCCUUUUCUGUAGGCAAAUACUGCCAUCUUCUGUUCAUUCAGAUAUGGUGUUGGCCAGCCAGACCUAACACCUUGGUGGUGGGCUCCUGUCAUCAUUCCCAGCAUAAAAUACUAUGCACCCAUUUUUUUUUAGGGGAACUCAACUUUUUGUUCAAGGACAGAAAAAAACAAAAACAAUUCCAAAAUUUGCCUCCCCAAACACUAAAUUUCUCUUACUUAGAAUAGCUUAAUGAAUACAAAUGGAAGGGCUCUUAGAAUGGUACAGGUGGUUGCUUGCAUAUGUUGUUAUUUUGGCAUUGCACCAGAAGCUGCUACCAAGAUUAGUGACUGCAUGUUUGCCAAUGGUGUUAUAGCAUCGUGUUUAUGGAUCUGAAAGCCAAGAAGACUGUUAAAAGGAGGAUACAGUAAUUUGAAAUUAGCAGCUGAUGUAAUUCCCGUAAGUAUUUUCUGCAUUCUACGGUUAAAUGCUGUAUAUGAUUCAACAUGAAACAUCUAUUGAGCAUCUCUGCAAAUAGCUGUUAAAUUUCUACAAUGGUACAGAAUAAAUUUUACUCUUCGUCACAGAUGCACCCACAACCAAACUCUAAUUUAGGGCUGUCAGCAUGGCUCUCUAGAUGUUGUUGGACUUCAGAUCCAUUCAGCCCCAGCCAGUAUGGCUAAUGGGUGAGGGUUAGAGUUAGAGUUAGAGUCCAACAGAAUCGGGAGGAGACCACAUUGGCUGCUGCUGCUGUAGUCAUAGAUGAAGACAGUGCGUCACACUGUCAGACUAUGUGUUGAACGGGGCAGGGGGACGUUCUGUAUGUAAUGCUCUGUCACUUCCUUCACCCACAAUUUCAGUAUCACUGUGACCUUUCUCUUCCCUAAAUAAUAUUGAAUAUUAAGGAAUGCUUUUCAUAUACAUAAUGCAGUUUCUUUUUGGAAAUCUCAUGAAGAAAUACAGGAAGCAUCACAGCAUUUCCAAAAUGAUUGAAUUAUGUCAAUCAAUUAUCUAGUAGAAUUCAAUCAAAUUUAUUUUCUGAGUAGCAUGUCAAAAAUGAACUGCAGCAAUAUUCAUAUUCUAUUUUAUACCACAUUUCUGCUUCACAUUUGCCUUCAUGAAGCUCAGGUAUGCAUUAGAUAGGUAUCACUGCAUUUUAUCUUUGCCUAAACCGCCUCACAGGGUUAUUGAAAGAAUGACUGCUCCAACGUCCAUCAGAGAAUUGCACGGCAGAGAUGACUUUAAAUCCAGGUCACUCUAGUUCACAUUCAGUGUUCUGUUAUACUGCAUGGCACAUGAACUCUUUUCACCCAUAACAGGGUGGAAAAAUCACAGUUAUUGUCUUGUAAUACCAAAAUACAUUUUUCUAUUUAUUAUAAAAUAUAAUUGGGCCUAUAUUAAUAGCUGCUAUUCCAAGGAUGGGGGGAAAUUGUUUGCUAUUAGCCUCAAUAAUAUUUGUAACUGCUCUGCAAUCUUAAUAGCAUGAAGGACAUUUGAGGGCCAUGAAGUGGAAGGAAAAUAAUUUCACUGUUGUUCCUAGAUAGAAAAGCAAAUGUUCCCCUGGCUAAAAGGAUUAUAUCUGGGAAUCUUUCCCGAGGACAAAAUUAGAACUGCAUAUUCAUUUAUCAGCCAGAAAAUUCACCAUAAAGUGCACUUCGCCUCUAUAGGUGGUAAGAAAUGCAAUUAAUUAAUUCCUAGCAUUAAAACAAAUCUGCUUUCACUUCAACACAUUCCCGAUGCACAACUCAAGUUUGCAUUGGUUUGUUUUCAAAGAUAUAAGACUGGUUUGUAUUUUUUUAGUACAAAUGCAAAGCUAUUUUUUUUUAAAAAAAACAUUAAAUAAACAUCGUACCGAACUGAAAACAAUUCUGUUGCCAAAUUGGUUACGCUUUAGGCAAAGAUGAGGAUUUUUGUUUUGUUUUUGCUUCUGUAACCCAGCAGUAGCAGCAGCCCUGCUGAUUUCAUUUUCAUUUAAAUAUUUUGCUGCCUGUCUUUGUCUUAGCAGUAAUGAGGAAGAAAAUAUGUUGUGCUAAUAAUUGCUUAUAUGACUUAUGAAAUAUUUAUCCCAGUACAUAGUGUUUCAUCUCCCUUUCUGUCCUUUCCACCCUUCUCUCUCUUGUCUUGUGGGUCAUGAUCUAGCACUGUCCUGUGCGAGUUUACUUAGAAGUAAGUUCCAUUUUGUACAAAGGGCCUUAAUCUUUGGUAUGGGACUUCUGUAGCCUUUGUGCAGCACUUUUGACUCUCACUAUUUUCAGUUCCAUGUGUAAUGCUGUCAUGGAGACCAACAGAACUUAAUAUGAAUGCUUCACUUUGGCUGAAUCAUGCUCUUAAGAUUGUAAAUCUACAGGAAGGCACUUUUGUCUGUUUUAAGUAAGCACUGCAAAGAGACAUUUAAAAGACUCUACUACUACUACUACUACUACUACUACUACUACUACUAAUAAUAAUAUCAGGGAGUUGAUAUGUGAAUGAUCUGAAGUGUAUUAAUUUUAUAAAUGGCAGCAACUCUCAAAGCUUUAUUUGACAGUAGCAGAAAGGGUAAGGUUUGGCAUGGCAUUGGGGUCAGGAUUAGUUCAUCAUUUCACAAACCUUGUGUUGAUGGAAUGGGUUCACUGGGUUUGGGCCGCCCCCAACCCUUUCCAUGGGAGUCAGCCAGGGCUGAACCUUGCCAUGGUGCAAGCUGAGCAAGCAAGGUCUCACUGGGGGGCCAGGGGGCAGAUUCCAACCAGGCAGAUACCCCAACCUGAGCUUGGGGGUGUAUGCCCUCCCCCAUACUAUGUUGAUCCUGGCCAAUGAUAUUUCCGCCCUCAUACAAACAAGGGAAGGUCAUAAUUUCACUGAGGGAAAGGUGGAACAAACCCCAACC